This is a non-coding RNA of Arachis ipaensis, 253 nucleotides long. NCBI's taxonomy places the organism in Eukaryota, Viridiplantae, Streptophyta, Magnoliopsida, Fabales, Fabaceae. The record is from RefSeq and is a predicted model, not a curated record.
AAAAAAAUUUAUUUACUUGCAUAUAAAUACAAUUGCACAUGAUGAAGGUCACCAUAUUACAAUGGAAAAAAAUAACUUAUAUUGGAAGAUGCUACUUCUGACCUUUCUCUGGUUACUUGUUGUUUGGUCACUGGUGAGUAUGGUUGAAAUGCAAACAUGUGGAGAGGAUUAUGAAGGCUCAGGCCUUGAGAGAUAACGGUAUGACUGGCUACAUAUCUAGUAAGAAGACUAUGGAGAUCAACCCUGACAUAUA